ACAAACAAGCAAACAAAU
This 18-nucleotide small RNA is filed under the name Arabidopsis thaliana (thale cress). RNAcentral's name for it is "ATSL289980". The record is from RNAcentral. Lineage: Eukaryota; Viridiplantae; Streptophyta; Magnoliopsida; Brassicales; Brassicaceae.